GAACGGGUGCGUAAUGCAUGGGAAUCUGCCUAGUAGUGGGGAAUAACCCGGCGAAAGCCGGGCUAAUGCCGCAUACGACCUACGGGUGAAAGCGGGGGAUCGCAAGACCUCGCGCUAUUAGAUGAGCCCAUGUCGGAUUAGCUAGUUGGUAGGGUAACGGCCUACCAAGGCGACGAUCCGUAGCUGGUCUGAGAGGACGGCCAGCCACACUGGGACUGAGACACGGCCCAGACUCC
RNAcentral lists this ribosomal RNA (236 nucleotides) under uncultured bacterium. Its description in RNAcentral is "partial 16S ribosomal RNA". It matches the Rfam family "Bacterial small subunit ribosomal RNA", at positions 100 to 339 of the family's 1533-position model. The record is from RNAcentral.